AUAUAAAUAAGAGAGAAAGGGAGAGAGAGAAAACAAAAUUACAGGAGGAGAGGGAAGAGAAAAAUUACAAAAAAAAUGAAAAAGAGAGGAAAAGGAAAUAAUGUAAGAGGAGAGAGAAAGAGAGAGAGAGAGAAAGGGAGGAAGAAAACAAUAUGAGAGAGAAACGGAGAGAAAAAAAGGAGUUACAGGAGGAGAGAGGAGGAAAAAAAAAACAAUCCAAGAGAAGGAAGAGGAAACUAAUCACUUGGAAAAGCAGAGGUGGGCAAGUGCGGUGGUGCGGUAGUGUGGUAGUGCGGUAGUGUGGUAGUGCGGUAGUGUGGUAGGGCGGUUGUGCGGUAGUGUGGUAGUGCGGUAGGGCGGUAGGGCGGUAGUGCGGUAGAGCAGUAGCAUCACAUCCCCAAAAAAGUACCGCACUACCGCAAAAUUUCUGAAAAUACCACACUACCGCGGACCACACUAAAAAUCCUACGGUACUUUUUUGCGGUACUCUGAAAUCUAUUGACAUUUGCAGCGCGGCAGGAAUGUUUAUUUUUUAUUUUUUUACAGUGAAUCGGACUCAACCAGUCAAUCGGUAUCAAUCAUCAGAGUCAGUAAUUCAAUCAUUCCGACUUGUUCAAAAUUGAAUACUAAAUAGACUGACUAAUCUACUACACUUCCGAGUCUUCUUUAACCCGCGCGGUGCUGGCCAUUUCAACCCCGGACCUGUCUGUGGUGCCGGACGAUUUUUCAUUGUACUAUUUUAAGCAUGUUUCCUUUGUUUGGAUAGCCAGGAUAGACACUCAAGUUGGAAAGUCUUGUUUAGUCGGCGCAACAUCUGUGGUCAUAUGCCGGAGAGAGACAGAAGGGGAAGGAAUUAUAGGAGAAGGGAAAGUUUUGUUUAGUGGGCGCAACAUCUGUGGUCAUAUGCCGGAGAGAGACAGAAGGGGAAGGAAUUAUAGGAGAAGGGAAAGUUUUGUUUAGUGGGCGCAACAUCUGUGGUCAUAUGCCGGAGAGAGACAGAAGGGGAAGGAAUUAUAGGAGAAGGGAACAUUUUGUUUAGUGGGCGCAACAUCUGUGGUCAUAUGCCGGAGAGAGACAGAAGGGGAAGGAAUUAUAGGAGAAGGGAAAGUUUUGUUUAGUGGGCGCAACAUCUGUGGUCAUAUACCGGAGAGAGGCAGAAGAGGAAGGAGUUAUAGGAGAAGGGAAAGUUUCGUUUAGUGGGCGCAACAUCUGUGGUCAUAUGCCGGAGAGAGACAGAAGGGGAAGGAAUUAUAGGAGAAGGGAAAGUUUUGUUUAGUGGGAGCAACAUCUGUGUUCAUAUACCGGAGAGAGGCAGAAGAGGAAGGAGUUAUAGGAGAAGGGAAAGUUUUGUUUAGUCGGCGCAACAUCUGUGGUCAUAUGCCAGAGAGAGACAGAAGGGGAAGGAAUUAUAGGAGAAGGGAAAGUUUUGUUUAGUGGGCGCAACAUCUGUGGUCAUAUGCCGGAGAGAGACAGAAGGGGAAGGAAUUAUAGGAGAAGGGAAAGUUUUGUUUAGUGGGCGCAACAUCUGUGGUCAUAUACCGGAGAGAGGCAGAAGAGGAAGGAGUUAUAGGAGAAGGGAAAGUUUCGUUUAGUGGGCGCAACAUCUGUGGUCAUAUGCCGGAGAGAGACAGAAGGGGAAGGAAUUAUAGGAGAAGGGCACAGACCCCAAGAGACGGGACACAACCCCUGAUUAAUACCUGGCACCCAUUCACUGCUGGGUGGACAGGGGCGUAGGGUAUCGGAAAAGCCGCCCAAAUUUUUCCACUCCGCCCGGGAAUCGAACCCGGGCUCUCUUGGUUGUGAGCUGAGUGUGCUAACCACUGCACCACGAAGCCCCUAGGCACUCAAGUAUAUUUUAAUUUAACCACCGCAGUACCGCACACCGCGUACCGCACCGGGAAAGAAAAAAUGGGACCACACUACCACAACCGCACUACUCCGGAAAAAGUACCGCACUACCACAAACACACUUACGAGUUUUCAUUACUGUGCCCACCUCUGUUGAAAAGAGAAAAAGGGAAAUGUUUUAAUAAUUCUCAAGUGGAUUUGUUUACUUUUCCUAUAUAUUCUUUGUUCUCUAUCUCUGCUUAAUUAGAUACCUGGGGGAGCCUGGGGGUGACACAUGGGUACCUGGGGAGAACUGGGGACUACUGGAAGUGGUUCUGUGGGGAGUAACUUAAACCCAUACGCUGGUGAUCAUUUGACCCGACCUCUGCACCAUGACCCGGAAACUGACCCAUGAAUACCCAGUUAAUCUACCCUGUGGCCUUGGGAAAUAGCCGGACUGGGACCCUGGGAUGUUUACAAAUACAGGGAUAAUGACCACUGGGGGAAGGGGAGGGACAGGAUGGAGAGGAUGAAAAAUUACCUACAAAAACCAUGAAAAAAAAAACAAUAUCCAUAGAAAUGAGAGCUGAAAUAGAGAGGACCUGGGAGUGACUUGCAAGGCUUUCUAUAAGGCUGUGGUGGGUGUGUGGGAAGCCUGAACAAGGGUUGAGGAAGGGCUGGAAAAGGCUUGGAUCACCCCUUAUGAGUUCGGACUUACAAUGGUGCUUUUUAGAGAAUUAGACAGAGGUGCUGGAGGUGGUGUGUAUGUAUAUGUGUGUGUGUGUGUGUGUGUGUGUGUGUGUGUGUAUUUACCUAGUUGUAUUUACCUAGUUGUGAAAUGCAGGAAAAGAACCGUGUGUGUGUGUGUGUGUAUUUACCUAGUUGUGAAAUACAGGAAAAGAGCUGUGUGUGUGUGUGUGUGUGUGUGUGUGUGUGUGUGUGUGUGAAAGAAGGACAGAUCAGGUAUAGUUCUAGUAAUUGGUUUAAAACUCCCAGGUAUUUUACAGGUGAGAGAAAGAGAACGAGAAGUCUAUUGAAGUAACUAGUGUUUUUUAAGUAAGGAAAGAUUUUGUGAUAGCACCCAGACUGUGACCGGACCCUUGAGAACAGAACACAGUGACUAGUGAACACACACACACGCACACACACACACAUAAAUAUAUCUUACCUUAUCUAACUUUUUCCUCCCUUCCCUUUUUUUCCCCUCCUUUCCCUUCCCUUCUUCUCUCCUCUCUCUUUCCCUUCCCUUCCUCUCCUUCUGUUUCUUUCCCUUUGCAUCCCUUCCUCUCCUUUCCCUUCCCUUCUCUUCUCUUUCUUUCCCUUUCCUUUCCUUUCCUUCCCUUCCCUUCCCUUCCUAACCAAAUCAAACCUUACCUAACCUAACCUUACCCAACACAAUAAUACCCUUCCCUUCUCUUCCCUUCUCUUCCUUUUCCUUCCCUUCUCCUCCUCUCCUUUCCUUCUGUUCCUUUCUCUUCCCUUCCCUUCCUUUCCUUUCCUUUCCCUUCCCUAAACAAACCCAACACAACAUGACCUAAACUUGACCUGACAAAACCUCAACAAAUGACCCUCAACUAACAUAUCAGACCCCCCAAUACACCCCCUUCCCCUCCCCCUCUAUUCCUCCCCUAUACAGCUUCACGCCACAGAGAGAGAAAGAGAGAGAGAGGUCAAAGAAGGGAAGGCAAGAGAGAGUAGGCCUAUAGAAUACCUUUGUACGUAAAUAACCUUGCAUACGUUUAAUACAUAUGUUGAUAGUUGUUAUAAAUACUUGGGUUCAAAUUGACGUGGAGUUUUGUCUCGUAGAAGGAGGAAGAUUUAAAAUGAAGUUACGUAAGUGGAAAUAGACAUUGAUGUUAUUGAUCUCUCUGUCAGAAGAAGGAAGGAAAGAAGAAUUACAGGAAAGAAAAGGAAGAAAUAAAAAGAAGAAUAAAAGCAAUGAUCAUCUUGUAGAAGGAAGAAGAUUAAAAUGAAGUUACAUAAGUGGAAAUAGACAUUGAUGUUACUGAGCUCUCUGUCGGAAGAAGGAAGGAAAGAAGAAUUACAGGAAAGAAAAGGAAGAAAUAAGAAAAAUGAUUAAGUAUAGAUCGUCUCAUAGAAGGAAGAAGAUUAAAAAUGAAGUUACAUAAGUGGAAAUAGACAUUGAUGUUAUUGAUCUCUCUGUCAGAAGAAGGAAGGAAAGAAGAAUUAGAGGAAAGAAAAGGAAGAAAUGAGAAAAAUGAUUAAGUAUAGAUCGUCUCAUAGAAGGAAGAAGAUUAAAAUGAAGUUACAUAAGUGGAAAUAGACAUUGAUGUUAUUGAUCUCUCUGUCGGAAGAAGGAAGGAAAGAAGAAUUACAGGAAAGAAAAGGAAGAAAUGAGAAAAAUGAUUAAGUAUAGAUCGUCUCGGAGAAGGAAGAAGAUUAUAAAAGAAAUUACUUAAGUUGAAAUAGAUAUUGAUGUUAUCGAUCUCUCUGUUGGAAGAAGAAAGAAAAGAAGAAUUAGGGAAAGAAAUAAGAGAGAUAGUAAAAUAAUUAAUAGUUUGUAAAGGAAUAAGAAGCAGAUAAAAAUGACAUAGAGAAAAUACAAGUACAUUAUGAUUUACUCUGUCUGAAGGAGGAAGGAAAGAAGAAUUACAGGAAAGAAAAGGAAGAAAUAAGAGAAAUGAUAAAAGUAAAUAGAAAAAGAAAGAAAAUGACAGAAAAA
Molecule: long non-coding RNA, 4510 nt
Organism: Eriocheir sinensis (Chinese mitten crab)
Lineage: Eukaryota; Metazoa; Arthropoda; Malacostraca; Decapoda; Varunidae
Exons: 2
Source: RefSeq, a predicted model, not a curated record